Molecule: small nuclear RNA, 107 nt
Organism: Suncus etruscus (white-toothed pygmy shrew)
Lineage: Eukaryota; Metazoa; Chordata; Mammalia; Eulipotyphla; Soricidae
Source: RefSeq, a predicted model, not a curated record
GUGCUCACUUCUGCAGCACAUAUACUAAAAUUGAAAUGGUAAAGAGAAGAAUAGAGUGGCCAUCAAGCAAGGAUGACACACAAAUUCAUGAAGCAUUUCAUAUUUUU